Molecule: ribosomal RNA, 254 nt
Filed under: uncultured bacterium
Lineage: Bacteria
Description: partial 16S ribosomal RNA
Rfam family: Bacterial small subunit ribosomal RNA
Source: RNAcentral
UACGUAGGGUGCAAGCGUUGUCCGGAAUUAUUGGGCGUAAAGAGCUCGUAGGCGGUCUGUCGCGUCGGAUGUGAAAACCCAGGGCUCAACCCUGGGCCUGCAUUCGAUACGGGCAGACUAGAGUAUGGCAGGGGAGACUGGAAUUCCUGGUGUAGCGGUGAAAUGCGCAGAUAUCAGGAGGAACACCGGUGGCGAAGGCGGGUCUCUGGGCCAAAACUGACGCUGGAGGAGCGAAAGCGUGGGGAGCGAACAGG